This 409-nucleotide ribosomal RNA is filed under the name Actinomycetes bacterium. RNAcentral describes it as "Actinobacteria bacterium partial 16S ribosomal RNA". It matches the Rfam family "Bacterial small subunit ribosomal RNA", at positions 355 to 776 of the family's 1533-position model. Lineage: Bacteria; Bacillati; Actinomycetota; Actinomycetes. The record is from RNAcentral.
UGGGGAAUAUUGCACAAUGGGCGGAAGCUUGAUGCAGCGACGCCGCGUGGGGGAUGAAGGCCUUCGGGUUGUAAACUCCUUUCGACAGGGACGAAGCUUUUGUGACGGUACCUGUAUAAGAAGCACCGGCUAACUACGUGCCAGCAGCCGAGGUAAUACGUAGGGUGCGAGCGUUGUCCGGAAUUACUGGGCGUAAAGAGCUCGUAGGUGGUUUGUCGCGUCGUCUGUGAAAUUCCGGGGCUUAACUCCGGGCGUGCAGGCGAUACGGGCUGACUUGAGUGCUGUAGGGGAGACUGGGAUUCCUGGUGUAGCGGUGAAAUGCGCAGAUAUCAGGAGGAACACCGAUGGCGAAGGCAGGUCUCUGGGCAGUAACUGACGCUGAGGAGCGAAAGCAUGGGUAGCGAACAGG